Molecule: long non-coding RNA, 2086 nt
Filed under: Pogona vitticeps (central bearded dragon)
Lineage: Eukaryota; Metazoa; Chordata; Lepidosauria; Squamata; Agamidae
Description: lncRNA (ENSPVIG00000023431.1)
Source: RNAcentral
AAAUCAAACUGCUGGGUGCGACACUCCUUGCCUGCAUGCAGAGGACUGUCCACCCAGCUCCUUUACUCAGCUGAAUAAAAGAGGCUGAAACUGAUCUCUCAUCCGGGUUUCAACAACCAUCAGAUCCAGGCUGUGAAAGCCUUCAAGAAUACAUCAGUCUGUGGAUCUUUUUAGAUGAGUACCUAGCCACACCAACUUGUUGCUGUUAAUGGACAGAGAGCCAGUGAGCCACCCAGGAAUGGCAUGAAUUGCUACCUCGUACUCUCAGCCAGUAUUGUUUUGUGUCAGGGAAGAAGCAGACUGUGAUGAGAAACAGGACCCAGGUGAACGAGGAAGUUCCGAAGGUGAAGGAGGGAAGCAAGUUCAGGAAGCUCUUGAGUAUUACGAGGAUGUGGGACCUCAAGAGGCAUCCAGCCAUGCCAACCCUUAAGGCUAACCCUGACUUCACAACUUCAUCUGCUCAGAGAGAGAGAGAGCUGGUGUGAUUCCAAAAGAACCUGAUCGAACCAUAUGCAGCCUGUGAUCAAAGAAGAGGAGGAUACUUCACCCUGAAAUGUUGAGGUGAGACCCCUCCCAGCUUGGACCACAACCUGCCCCUGCUCUGAAUAGAAUGUGAAGUGGUGUGCAGAUUCAGGCAAGUUGCACUGUGUGUUGUUUGCUGCUUUACAGGACACGACUGAUCUUCAUUGCAAUCACCAUUCUUCGACUUCCUAUCUCUCUGAGAAGAUGACAAGGAAAGAAUUGCAUUCAGGCAAAUAUGAACCGGCCUCACUCAGUCACUCCAGCUGGCCAAACCAGCCUGGCAGCAUCAGCUCAGCCCACGGUAAACAACAACAACAACAACAACAACAACAACAACAACAACAACAACAACAACAACAACAACAACAACAACAACAACAACAACAAAACCCAACAACUGCGGGCAUGACGGUGACACUUCCUUUAGUCUGAACAGCAAUGCAGUGUCUGGAAGAACCGUAUUGUGUCAGUAGUAUGCUGCAGUUAUGUUAACAGAAAAAAGAACAGGAAAAAUGGAUGAUCAUGCAGACAUAGGAAGCUGUUUUAUCUCAAGUCCAGACUCUUGGUGUCUGUCGUCCAUGUACUUCACUGUUGUCGAGACACAUUGAUGGCACGUCUUCAGGAUUUCAGGCAGUAAUUUUCCAGUCCUACCUGCAAACCUUCUUUAUGCAACUGACCCAUGAACUGUCCCCAUUAAUAAGAGCUCCUUAAUCUGUGCAGGCAGCUGGCUGGCUCUGAAAUGGAUGAGUGGCUCAGUUGCUUUUAAAGUGUGGCAUCCAGUAAGAAAAACGGGGGAAUUUGUUGACAGAGCAUUUACCAAUGCAGCCACUGACAGAAAGUGAAGGAUGAAGGCAGAGAAAAUGAACAUCCAUGCAUCAGCAGGCCCAGCUUUUUGUGCCACAGAAGUCUUAAUGAGGUUUGCUGAGCUACUGAUAAUUGCCUUUGAAAAAUCAGGAGUCAGAGAAAUAGCAGUCAGGAUCAAAACGCUGAGGGAGAGCCGGCUUGGCGAGUUCAUAAAGGAGUUUCACCCAGCGGUUAUUAUAGGUGGUUAGGGAUGGAAAAUAUUUCCUUUGAGGCUACAACUCCUCAAAUUACCCAACCCAUAUGGCCACUGACCAUUGCUGCCGAUUGUAUUCUGGGAACUGUCAACUGAAAAAGAAAUGCUUCCCGUCUCUGCGGAUGAUACCUGGUCUCUCUCGGAUCUACAGUUCUGCCAAUAGCCAUUGGGUUAGAUGGUUUUUAAAUGAGACCAGACCUGAACUCAGGGAAUUACUUUCCCCAGAACUCCCCAACCUGAACAGCCAAUGAUUUUGAUUCCUUGAUUCUUUGGGGGUCAUUUGGCAGAUUUUUGGCCAUUUUUUCCUUAUUUUUAAGAGUGUUUUGGUGAAACGAGUGAUGGAAAGGUAUUAUUAAUACGGUCUACCUAACUUUGCUCUUAAAGCAAUGAAUAGUGACCUUCUUUGAAAAAAGGAUGAGGAACACAAACCAUUUGUGUAGUAUUUUAAAAAUCAUGUUUCAAGUGCUGUAAUUGUAUGUUUGAAAAUAAAACAAAUAUUCGAAAACA